GUGACAGAAGAGAGUGAGCACACAUGGCCUUUCUUGCAUAUAUACAUGCUUGAAGCGAUCUGUGCUCACCCUCUAUCUGUCAC
This 83-nucleotide microRNA precursor is filed under the name Helianthus annuus (common sunflower). Its description in RNAcentral is "sRNA HanXRQr2_Chr12g0527221". It matches the Rfam family "mir-156 microRNA precursor family". Rfam says of the family: This family represents the plant microRNA (miRNA) precursor mir-156. Animal miRNAs are transcribed as ~70nt precursors and subsequently processed by the Dicer enzyme to give a ~22nt product. Lineage: Eukaryota; Viridiplantae; Streptophyta; Magnoliopsida; Asterales; Asteraceae. The record is from Rfam by way of RNAcentral.